Molecule: ribosomal RNA, 254 nt
Filed under: uncultured bacterium
Lineage: Bacteria
Description: partial 16S ribosomal RNA
Rfam family: Bacterial small subunit ribosomal RNA
Source: RNAcentral
UACAGAGGUCCCGAGCGUUGUUCGGAUUUAUUGGGCGUAAAGGGCGCGUAGGCGGCCACCGCAAGUCGACUGUGAAAUCUCCGGGCUUAACCCGGAAAGGUCAGCCGAUACUGCGGGGCUAGAGUGCAGAAGGGGCAACUGGAAUUCUCGGUGUAGCGGUGAAAUGCGUAGAUAUCGAGAGGAACACCUGCGGCGAAGGCGGGUUGCUGGGCUGACACUGACGCUGAUGCGCGAAAGCUAGGGGAGCGAACGGG